AAGACUGCUCAAAAUCUCCUCAGAGCUCAGAACUUCAGUUGGAAACCCUGGCCUGAGAAUUCCAACAGAUUUUUAUCUCUCAUUCUAAACUGGUUUAAGAUCAUUUGACAGAAUUUUUCUCUCCUGCCACUUAACUUAUCAGAAAACUAUUCCAAAUCCUAUUCAAUAAUAUUCCCAAUAAUCUACAUGUAAAAAUAAAAUUUAAAUCACAUUUUAAAAAAGAAUUAUUGAGAAGGGAAGAAUGUCUUUGCCAGGAACACCCCAUGGUCAGCAUGGUCCAUAGCAUCAUGAAGAGCUGGAUAUGACUUAAUGACUGAACAAAGGCUGAAUAGUUGCAUUGAUCCUAUGGAUCCUGGUAUCACAUUGAGCUGUGUUAGGAAACCUAUGGAAUUCAUGCAGGAGGGAGCUGUUUCCUUUCACCUCUCCACAAGAGACUGAGAACAUUUCUCACAUCCACCCCUCUGUACAGCAGCCCAAUGGAAGAGCUUCCCUCAUCCACUGUCUGGGGGUGUGAAGGUAUAAAAUGUGAAGUAGAUAUAUACUACUGCUUAUUAUACAUGGCAAGUUGUAUGGCAAGAUUUUUGUGUGUAGAGAAACCACAUGAAACCACUAACAAAUGUUGGCUCUCUUGUCCGGAGAGUAUUGAGUGUGCAAAGGUAGAGUGUUACUAUGCUGAGGAGCACAACAAUAGCUACCACAGUUUAUGUGCUGCUGGAUGGACUUGCAAAACCUUCCUAUUGAAUAUUAAUGGUUGCGAAGAAAAUGGAUACCAGCAUGGAGCUAUCUGUGAAGAUGGAAUUAAUGAAUACAGGUGUGGGUGUCUUCAAGGAGGUGAUGGAUUCUUCUGCGGAAUAAAGACAAAUAUGUGUGUGUCUGAGACCUGUAAAAAUGGAUCUACCUACAUGUGUUUAAAUGACCAUGUCUUCUGGCAGUGUGACACUGGAUUUAUAGGUCUUUCCAGUUCACAUGAAAAUACUUCAGUGCAUCAUCCCUUUCAUCACAAUAGAAUUCCAUCAUCAUCAGGAGGAGCCUCCUGUUGUUCAUUUAAUAUAAAUGGGAAUACUUGUGAACUCAUUUGAUAAAAACAACAUCUACAUUCUAUUCCAGGACAAAUGUGGAAGAAUAAGGGAUUUGUCACAACAUCUGGAAAAAAGGAUAGCAUAUGAGAACCAACUCUUAGAAGAAGUGAACUUGCCAAAGGAAGUGGUGGUGAUUCAUUACAAGGCUCACUUCUCUGGCAAGGAUGAGGUAUUCCUAGGAAAUCACAGGGUUGAUGUAACAGCAAGAUUCGCUGCAAGAUUUGGUCCUAUCUAUGUUCUGAAUUUCUCUCUGGUGGAUAAGCAUGAUCUCAAGCAAACAUACUUCCAAGAGGAGAUUCGGGCAUGGCAAGAACAUCUAGGGGCCAGAUUAGUCAAAGGAAUCUGUUUAUCACAAAGAGGGAAAGUCCAUCUUGCCCAAAAGGCUGUACUAACAUCUAUGCAAUGUAAUUCAUUCCAGAGGUCAUUACAGAGUGCAAUCCAUGCUAGAUGAGGUCUGCCUGUUUUGGGAAGGUCCAGGGAUAUCAAAUAUAUAACUAUAUAUACAUAUAUAUAUAUAUACAUAUAUAUAUAUAUAUAUAUAUAUAAGAUAUAUAACAAAUGUUAUAAGAGUGUGUCAGGCAUGUGACAUCUGUAGAAAGUUUAAUAAAGGUCAUUUCAAAAGCA
Monodelphis domestica (gray short-tailed opossum) is the source of this 1703-nucleotide long non-coding RNA. Lineage: Eukaryota; Metazoa; Chordata; Mammalia; Didelphimorphia; Didelphidae. The record is from Ensembl.